GGGAUAUGGAAGAACCGGGGAAACUUGGUUCUUCCUAAGUCCU
Molecule: unclassified non-coding RNA, 43 nt
Filed under: synthetic construct
Source: RNAcentral